This 474-nucleotide ribosomal RNA is filed under the name Meyerozyma guilliermondii. Its description in RNAcentral is "eukaryotic LSU rRNA". It matches the Rfam family "Eukaryotic large subunit ribosomal RNA", at positions 143 to 633 of the family's 3401-position model. The record is from RNAcentral. Lineage: Eukaryota; Fungi; Ascomycota; Pichiomycetes; Serinales; Debaryomycetaceae.
UUGUAAUUUGAAGAUYGUAACCUUGGGGUUGGCUCUYGUCUAUGUUUCUUGGAACAGGACGUCACAGAGGGUGAGAAUCCCGUGCGAUGAGAUGCCCAAUUCUAUGUAAGGUGCUUUCGAAGAGUCGAGUUGUUUGGGAAUGCAGCUCUAAGUGGGUGGUAAAUUCCAUCUAAAGCUAAAUAUUGGCGAGAGACCGAUAGCGAACAAGUACAKUGAYGGAAAGAUGAAAAGAACUUUGAAAAGAGAGUGAAAAAGUACGUGAAAUUGUUGAAAGGGAAGGGUUUGAGAUCAGACUCGAUAUUUUGUGAGCCUUGCYUUCGUGGCGGGGUGACCCGCAGCUUAUCGGGCCAGCAUCGGUUUGGGCGGUAGGAUAAUGGCGUAGGAAUGUGACUUUACUUCGGUGAAGUGUUAUAGCCUGCGUUGAUGCUGCCUGCCUAGACCGAGGACUGCGAUYUUAUCAAGGAUGCUGGCAUA